UACGGAGGGUGCGAGCGUUAAUCGGAAUUACUGGGCGUAAAGGGUGCGUAGGUGGUUUAAUAAGUUAUCUGUGAAAUUCCUGGGCUUAACCUAGGGUGGUCAGAUGAUACUGUUGAGCUUGAGUAUGGGAGAGGGCAGUGGAAUUUCCGGUGUAGCGGUGAAAUGCGUAGAGAUCGGAAGGAACACCAGUGGCGAAGGCGGCUGCCUGGCCUGAUACUGACACUGAGGCACGAAAGCGUGGGGAGCAAA
This 249-nucleotide ribosomal RNA is filed under the name uncultured Legionella sp. Its description in RNAcentral is "partial 16S ribosomal RNA". It matches the Rfam family "Bacterial small subunit ribosomal RNA", at positions 524 to 772 of the family's 1533-position model. Lineage: Bacteria; Pseudomonadati; Pseudomonadota; Gammaproteobacteria; Legionellales; Legionellaceae. The record is from RNAcentral.